RNAcentral lists this ribosomal RNA (440 nucleotides) under uncultured bacterium. Its description in RNAcentral is "partial 16S ribosomal RNA". It matches the Rfam family "Bacterial small subunit ribosomal RNA", at positions 338 to 795 of the family's 1533-position model. The record is from RNAcentral.
CCUACGGGAGGCAGCAGUAGGGAAUAUUGCUCAAUGGGGGAAACCCUGAAGCAGCAACGCCGCGUGGAGGAUGAAGGUUUUCGGAUUGUAAACUCCUUUUGUCAGAGAAGAUAAUGACGGUAUCUAACGAAUAAGCACCGGCUAACUCCGUGCCAGCAGCCGCGGUAAUACGGAGGGUGCAAGCGUUACUCGGAAUCACUGGGCGUAAAGAGCGCGUAGGCGGGAUAGCAAGUCAGAUGUGAAAUCCUAUGGCUUAACCAUAGAACUGCUUUUGAAACUGUUAUUCUGGAGUAUGUGAGAGGAAGGUGGAAUUCUUGGUGUAGGGGUAAAAUCCGUAGAGAUCAAGAGGAAUACUCAUUGCGAAGGCGACCAGCUAGAACAUAACUGACGCUGAGGCGCGAAAGCGUGGGGAGCAAACAGGAUUAGAUACCCUUGUAGUC